CGUGCGCACCAACCGUCCUAACGGCCCCAACGGACGUUAGCGGAUAAUAAACAGCGAGUCCGCGCUGACGAGCAAUUUCCCCGUCCGUCCCUCCCACAUUAACACACACGCUUGGGACAAUUUUACCAAAGCCCAAUUAACCUACAAACCUAUAGGUCUUUGGAAUGUGGGAGGAUGCCGAAGAUCUGGGAGAAACCCCACGCAGGUCGCGAGGAGAACGUACAAACUCCGUACAGACAGCGCCCGUAGUCGGGAUCGAACCCGGGUCUCUGGCGCUGUGAGGCAGCAGCUCUACCGCUGCGCCACCUCCCUGCCGUCCUGUUAACGGUCGGACAUUAACGGAGGCCUCGUCCCUGCCGUCCUCGUCCUUCACGAACCGAGUAAGUCAGUGUAACCGAUGGUCGCUCGGUCAAAGCGCAGCUGCGGCAGGACAGCGCUCCCUCCCUCCCUCAGCCCCAAAGACUACGACUGCCACCGAGAUGGAUGAGGUGUGGGUCUGGAGCGGCCUCUGGGACAGCGCUAGACCACGACAAAUGGCUUUCGUUCUGAAUCCCGUCCUUCAGAAGGGUCUGCUUCCCUUCCUCGGGUGUGUUCAGGGAUUGUGGUGAUGUUAAACGUCUCCAAGUGCUGCAGCCAACACCACCUGAAGUUCAGGAGGGCAAAAUGAGCAAAUGGAGAAGGGAAAUGGUGUUUCUAUGUCAUGAAGACCUACACGUUUGCGUAAAAGAACCCAAAGGGCAGAAAUGGGUGAUUCUUCAGUUGGCCAUUGCAUUCAGUCAUACCCGUUGCAUUUUUAUGAUGAACAAUGCUGUAAAAUAUAACUGAUUUAAGAAUAUAAAAUCACAUUUUUGUCCCAGUCUUUCAAAUUAUAAUCUUCCUCAAAUAAACCACCCAAAAAGUACUUUUUCAGUCUAAGGCAUUGUAACAAUUUACUGCCGAAAAAAGUGGUGAUUUUCAGCAAGAGUGGUAACUGUCACAUAACUUUUCACCAACUUCCUCUAAAACAAUAUUAAUCAGAUGAAUAGGCAAAAUCAUACUAUUCAUUUAUCAAUUAGCAUUGAUAAUUAUCGUCAUUGUUGUAUUAUUUUACACAUUAUGAGCAUAAAAUACUCAUGUGACGGACAUGACUCAGCGUGAUGGAGAUGAUCAAGUUCGGGACUGCCGCAAGACGGAGAUGACUAAGACCAUUUUAAGGCUCCAACAGUUUAUUAAAGGUUGAGAACAGGAAGCAACGUAUGAACAGGGAUCAGUGUUUCCUUCACUGGAGAUGGAGCUGUAGCUGGAGCUGUAAAACAAAUAAACAAAAAAAAGAUAAGAUGGAGAUGGAGCUGGAGCUGAAGCUAUAAAACAAUUAAACAAAAAAAGGAUAAGUUGGAGGAGGUAGAGCAGGAGAUGGAGCUGAAGAUGGAGCUAGAUCUGGAGCUGGAGUUGGAGAUGGAGCUGAAGAUGGAGCUGGAGCUGGAGUUGGAGAUGGAGCUGGAGAUGGAGCUGAAGAUGGAGCUAGAGCUGGAGCUGGAGUUGGAGAUGGAGCUGGAGAUGGAGCAAUAAAACAAAUAACCAAAAAAGGAUAUACCUGGUCUGGGAGAUCGGGGGUUAAGUGACGGAGAUGAGCGUUAUGGAUAUGAUGGCCCAAACCUGUAGCCCAGCAUGGCCUUGCCAGAAGGCGAUGCCUGGCGAUAUUGUUUGGAUGUAUAGUGAGACUCCUGGGAUCAAGGAAUGUGACUAUUGAUUGGAGACAUGAUCACAUAAUCCAGACUGACACGAGUGCAAUAUCAUUAGAUGAUAUAUGAAUGAAGCAUUGAACAAAAGCCCCAGCUGACUUUCCAGAUAAUAUAAAUUGCAUGGCAUCAUUCUUAACAGUAGCAGGAGAGUUUAAUUUAGGUUUAACAAGGCCAAUAUAUGUAUCUCAUCCUAACAUCACAGGCACAUGUUAUCUGGCCAACCUUGUGGGAGUUUGCUGUGUGCAGUUUUUGUGCUGAUUUCAGAGAAGUGGAAGUGAAAUAAAAGAAACAUUUGAUUGAGUGCCAUCAAGGGGCCCUGGAAUACUGAGUAAAUGAUUGGAAUUAUACCUGGCACAAAGAAAGAUAGAUGUGGUUGCCAGACCAGUGUCCCACCCCAGUGACAGGACAAACUACAGGAGUUCUUCAGGGUGUUCAGUGAUGAUUAGACAAUAUUCAAUAUUUUUUGUAACUUACAGGCAAAUGAUGCAGUGCAAGCAUGCAGGCAGCAGGACCCAGACAACAUUCAGGCAUUGGCUGGAAAAUGGCAUGUAAUAUUCACACUGCGAAUAUGCCAGGCAAUGACCAUUUCCAACAAAAGAGACAACCAUCUAAUGGUGAUAUCUGCAAGAUCAGAUCAGCCACAAUCUUAUUGAAAGACAUAGCAGGCUCAAGGGGCAAAUACUUCUAACUUGUGUAAUUGAACAUGUUCUGUGGCAUUACCAUCACAAAGUCCUGAACUUUCAGUAUUCUGGAAUUCAACGCUCACCAGAAACUCAACUGAACCAGCCACAUAAAUAUUGCAGCAAUAAGAGUAGAUCAGAGAAUGAGUAUCAUGUAUUGAAUUGAAUUCCUUUAUUGUCAUUCAGACCUUAAGGUCUGAAUGAAAUUUCGUGCCAAGGAAUAAGUGACAAAACGAAAAAAAACAACACAAAAAAGUAAAGACAAACGGACUGCAGGCGAGCCGCAGCCGUUCACCAGCGCCGCCACUUCCGGAGAUGGGAGAUGGCUCGCUUCCUGAUACCCGAAUGUAUUUCUACCAUUGGAAGGCACUGGUCAGGGAUUUGAUGAAAUACUGUCUGCUUGCUUGGUUGAUUGCAUCUCUAAAAGCUCUAAAAAAAAAGUAGCAAUCCACGACCAACAUCUCUUGACUGUCAUCUCAUUGGCCACCUUAAUCACUUAUUCAUUGCAACAUAAAUUCACAGUGCCUGCAGUAUGUGCCACCUACUGAAUGAACAGAAGUUAAACUAUUCUGAUUUGCAAACAGUCCUUCAAGAUCUCUGGCUUUAAAUCGUUGAGGACAUCUUCCCCAGGAAUAUUUUGAGAGCACAUUUACCAGCAAGAAUAUAACAGUUCAACAAAGUGGCACCCAAUCACCUGUGGAAGGGCAUUUAGGGAUGGUCAGUAAAUGUUGACCCUGCCAGUGACAGCCGGGUCCCAAAUGUGAAUGGGAUUCUACCAAUCACUUCCGAUGGAAAGGUGCAUGGCAUCACCAUUCCAUUACAGUCAUCUCACAAAAAAUUAUAUGGACCAGGCUUACUUUAAUUCCCCAAAACAUAGGAACUGCAAAGCUUCUCAAAAUUCAAUAAAACUUUUCCAACUCAGAAUAUCCCAAAGUAUUUCAUGGCAAAUUAAGCUGUCAUAUAUGUGCACAAUAAGAUCCCACAGACACCAACAAGGGAAAUAACAGUGCUUGAGUGACAAAGGUUGGCCAGGGCAGCAGCAGAACAGUUGCUCAUCAAGUAAUAGAUGUUAAAUCCUGUUGCGAAGAAGGACCAGAGAUCUGCAUGUAACCUCAUCAAUAGGAAACAUCCAGAGUAAUGCAAUACCCACUCACUUGCCCAUUUGAGCAGUAGCUUACUCUCAAUGUUAAAGCCUCUGGAUUGGGACCUGAAUUCACAAUUUCAUUUUCCGAGGCAGGCAUGCUGCCCCUUGGAUCCAAGCCUGACAUCAAUUCCAUUGGCCAUAUGUUCUGACUAAAUAAAAUAGUGCAAUCCAUAACACCAAGAUCAACAACAGAUUAUUAAGUUGUAUUAUUAAGGACAUAGGAAAC
Molecule: long non-coding RNA, 3771 nt
Organism: Leucoraja erinaceus (little skate)
Lineage: Eukaryota; Metazoa; Chordata; Chondrichthyes; Rajiformes; Rajidae
Exons: 3
Source: RefSeq, a predicted model, not a curated record